Arachis stenosperma is the source of this 119-nucleotide ribosomal RNA. The record is from RefSeq and is a predicted model, not a curated record. NCBI's taxonomy places the organism in Eukaryota, Viridiplantae, Streptophyta, Magnoliopsida, Fabales, Fabaceae.
AGGUGCGGUCAUACCAGCACUAAUGCACCGGAUCCCAUCAGAACUCCACAGUUAAGAGUACUUGGGUGAGAGUAGUACUCGGAUGGGUGACCUCUUGGGAAGUCCUCAUGUUUCUCCUC